This 434-nucleotide ribosomal RNA is filed under the name uncultured Clostridiales Family XIV bacterium. RNAcentral describes it as "bacterial SSU rRNA". It matches the Rfam family "Bacterial small subunit ribosomal RNA", at positions 341 to 792 of the family's 1533-position model. The record is from RNAcentral. Lineage: Bacteria; Bacillati; Bacillota; Clostridia; Eubacteriales; Clostridiales Family XIV. Incertae Sedis.
ACGGGAGGCAGCAGUGGGGAAUAUUGCGCAAUGGGGGAAACCCUGACGCAGCGACGCCGCGUGAGUGAAGAAGUAUUUCGGUAUGUAAAGCUCUAUCAGCAGGGAAGACAAUGACGGUACCUGACUAAGAAGCCCCGGCUAACUACGUGCCAGCAGCCGCGGUAAUACGUAGGGGGCAAGCGUUAUCCGGAUUUACUGGGUGUAAAGGGAGCGUAGACGGUGAAGCAAGUCUGAAGUGAAAGGCAGGGGCUCAACCCCUGGACUGCUUUGGAAACUGUUUUACUAGAGUACAGGAGAGGUAAGCGGAAUUCCUAGUGUAGCGGUGAAAUGCGUAGAUAUUAGGAGGAACACCAGUGGCGAAGGCGGCUUACUGGACUGCAACUGACGUUGAGGCUCGAAAGCGUGGGGAGCAAACAGGAUUAGAUACCCUGGUA